This 253-nucleotide ribosomal RNA is filed under the name uncultured bacterium. RNAcentral's name for it is "partial 16S ribosomal RNA". It matches the Rfam family "Bacterial small subunit ribosomal RNA", at positions 524 to 776 of the family's 1533-position model. The record is from RNAcentral.
UACAGAGGGUGCAAGCGUUAAUCGGAAUUACUGGGCGUAAAGCGUGCGCAGACGGUUGCGUAAGUCAGAUGUGAAAGCCCCGGGCUCAACCUGGGAAUUGCAUUUGAGACUGCGUAGCUAGGGUGCGGAAGAGAGAAGCGGAAUUUCCGGUGGAGCGGUGAAAUGCGUAGAGAUCGGAAAGAACACCAACGGCGAAAGCACUCUGCUGGGCCGACACUGACACUGAGAGACGAAAGCUAGGGGAGCGAAUGGG